RNAcentral lists this ribosomal RNA (490 nucleotides) under uncultured bacterium. Its description in RNAcentral is "partial 16S ribosomal RNA". It matches the Rfam family "Bacterial small subunit ribosomal RNA", at positions 28 to 507 of the family's 1533-position model. The record is from RNAcentral.
GAUGAACGCUAGCUACAGGCUUAACACAUGCAAGUCGCAGGGUAACAUGAGGAAAGCUUGCUUUCCUUGAUGUCGACUGGCGCACGGGUGAGUAACGCGUAUCCAACCUUCCCAUAACUACGGGAUAACCCGUUGAAAGACGGCCUAAUACCGUAUGAUAUCGUUUGCUGACAUCCAAUAACGAUUAAAGGUUUAGCGGUUAUGGAUGGGGAUGCGUCUGAUUAGCUUGUUGGCGGGGUAACGGCCCACCAAGGCGACGAUCAGUAGGGGUUCUGAGAGGAAGGUCCCUCACAUUAGAACUGGGACACGGACCAAACGCCUACGGGAGGCAGCAGUGAGGAAUAGUGGUCAAUGGGCGAGAGCCUGAACCAGCCAAGUAGCGUGCAGGACGGCGGCCCUAUGGGUUGUAAACUGCUUUUAGGUGGGGAUAAAGUGCGUGACGUGUCAUGCAUUGCAGGUACCACAUGAAUAAGGACCGGCUAAUUCCGUG